GGGAGCUUGCUCCUUGAUUCAGCGGCGGACGGGUGAGUAAUGCCUAGGAAUCUGCCUGGUAGUGGGGGACAACGUUUCGAAAGGAACGCUAAUACCGCAUACGUCCUACGGGAGAAAGCAGGGGACCUUCGGGCCUUGCGCUAUCAGAUGAGCCUAGGUCGGAUUAGCUUGUUGGUGAGGUAAUGGCUCACCAAGGCGACGAUCCGUAACUGGUCUGAGAGGAUGAUCAGUCACACUGGAACUGAGACACGGUCCAGACUCCUACGGGAGGCAGCAGUGGGGAAUAUUGGACAAUGGGCGAAAGCCUGAUCCAGCCAUGCCGCGUGUGUGAAGAAGGUCUUCGGAUUGUAAAGCACUUUAAGUUGGGAGGAAGGGCAGUAAGUUAAUACCUUGCUGUUUUGACGUUACCGACGGAAUAAGCACCGGCUAACUCUGUGCCAGCAGCCGCGGUAAUACAGAGGGUGCAAGCGUUAAUCGGAAUUACUGGGCGUAAAGCGCGCGUAGGUGGUUUGUUAAGUUGGAUGUGAAAGCCCCGGGCUCAACCUGGGAACUGCAUCCA
Molecule: ribosomal RNA, 559 nt
Filed under: Pseudomonas sp.
Lineage: Bacteria; Pseudomonadati; Pseudomonadota; Gammaproteobacteria; Pseudomonadales; Pseudomonadaceae
Description: bacterial SSU rRNA
Rfam family: Bacterial small subunit ribosomal RNA
Source: RNAcentral